RNAcentral lists this ribosomal RNA (500 nucleotides) under uncultured bacterium. Its description in RNAcentral is "bacterial SSU rRNA". It matches the Rfam family "Bacterial small subunit ribosomal RNA", at positions 29 to 508 of the family's 1533-position model. The record is from RNAcentral.
AAUCAACGCUGGCGGCGUGCCUAACACAUGCAAGUCGAACGCGAAAGGGGCUUCGGCCCUGAGUAGAGUGGCGAACGGGUGAGUAACACGUGGGUGAUCUACCUUCGAGUGGGGGAUAACGUCCCGAAAGGGACGCUAAUACCGCAUGACGUUCUGGGUUUGAAGACCUGGAAACCAAAGCCGGGGACCGCAAGGCCUGGCGCUUGAAGAGGAGCCCGCGUCCGAUUAGCUAGUUGGCGGGGUAAUGGCCCACCAAGGCGACGAUCGGUAGCCGGCCUGAGAGGGCGGACGGCCACACUGGAACUGAGACACGGUCCAGACUCCUACGGGAGGCAGCAGUGGGGAAUUGUUCACAAUGGGCGCAAGCCUGAUGACGCAACGCCGCGUGGGGGAUGAAGGUCUUCGGAUUGUAAACCCCUGUCGAACGGGACGAAAGACUCGGGAGCUAAUCAUCUCGAGAGUGACGGUACCGUUAAAGGAAGCCACGGCUAACUCUGUGC